Molecule: ribosomal RNA, 460 nt
Filed under: uncultured bacterium
Lineage: Bacteria
Description: partial 16S ribosomal RNA
Rfam family: Bacterial small subunit ribosomal RNA
Source: RNAcentral
CCUACGGGAGGCAGCAGUGAGGAAUAUUGGUCAAUGGACGAGAGUCUGAACCAGCCAAGUAGCGUGAAGGAUGACUGCCCUAUGGGUUGUAAACUUCUUUUAUAUGGGAAUAAAAUGUUCCACGUGUGGGAUUUUGUAUGUACCAUAUGAAUAAGGAUCGGCUAACUCCGUGCCAGCAGCCGCGGUCAUACGGAGGAUCCGCGCGUUAUCCGGAUUGAUUGGGUUUAAAGGGAGCGUAGGUGGAUUGUUAAGUCAGUUGUGAAAGUUUGCGGCGCAACCGUAAAAUUGCAGUUGAAACUGGCAGUCUUGAGUACAGUAGAGGUGGGCGGAAUUCGUGGUGUAGCGGUGAAAUGCUUAGAUAUCACGAAGAACUCCGAUUGCGAAGGCAGCUCACUGGACUGCAACUGACACUGAGGCUCGAAAGUGUGGGUAUCAAACAGGAUUAGAUACCCUGGUAGUC